GUAGGGAAAUGCAGAGCUCUGCUGCCUGAAAGGGACUGGAAAUGUAAAGGAAUUGAGUGAGUGCCAGAGGGAAAGUUCAGUGGUGUGAAUGGAGAAGGGAACAGAAACUGAAUACUUGGAUGGACGAGCAGAUUCUCAUUGAUCUCUUCAACCAUGAGCCAGGGUGGCUGGAUACAUCUGGACCAAACAGAAAGGCUUGAGCAUUGAGAUGCCAUGAGAAUGGCCUGGGUGGAUAUCUUUCAGGAGUCCAGCUUCUCCUCCCACUCUGAGAGUCCUAGGGAUUAAAUCUCGGUUGUCAGGAUUGGUGGUAAGCACUUUUACCCUUUGGGCUACACCUCAGUGCCCCCCACCCCAAUUUUUAUAAAGUAUACUACUUUAAUAGAUGAGGGAAUGAAAAUAUUAAAUGGUAGAUAAUUUUCAUUAAAUCUUGAAGACUCCAUCAUAGAUCUCUGAGUAUGCCUGAACACCUAUUUCCCAUGUCUUUUUCU
Molecule: long non-coding RNA, 488 nt
Filed under: Rattus norvegicus (Norway rat)
Lineage: Eukaryota; Metazoa; Chordata; Mammalia; Rodentia; Muridae
Description: long non-coding RNA NONRATT031897
Source: RNAcentral